RNAcentral lists this ribosomal RNA (258 nucleotides) under uncultured bacterium. Its description in RNAcentral is "partial 16S ribosomal RNA". It matches the Rfam family "Bacterial small subunit ribosomal RNA", at positions 96 to 354 of the family's 1533-position model. The record is from RNAcentral.
CGGCGGACGGGUGAGUAACGCGUGGGUAACCUGCCUCAUACAGGGGGAUAACAGUUAGAAAUGACUGCUAAUACCGCAUAAGACCACAGGGCCGCAUGGUCCGGUGGUAAAAACUCCGGUGGUAUGAGAUGGACCCGCGUCUGAUUAGCUGGUUGGUGGGGUAACGGCCUACCAAGGCGACGAUCAGUAGCCGACCUGAGAGGGUGACCGGCCACAUUGGGACUGAGACACGGCCCAAACUCCUACGGGAGGCAGCAG